GGCUCAAUGGUCUAGUAGCAUGAUACGUGCUUCGGGAGUUACCCCGCCGCCAACGGGUGGUUAAGAUGUACGUGACCCGGGUUCAAUUCCCGGUUGAGCCC
Non-coding RNA from Phlebopus sp. FC_14, 101 nucleotides. NCBI's taxonomy places the organism in Eukaryota, Fungi, Basidiomycota, Agaricomycetes, Boletales, Boletinellaceae. The record is from the annotation of a GenBank genome assembly.